UAAUACCCCAUAGAUUAGGGACGCUGGAAUGCACCCUAGUUCAAAGGUCCGCCGCCUCAGGAUGGGUCUGCGGCCGAUUAGGUUGUUGUUGGGGUAACGGCCCAACAAGCCUUUGAUCGGUACGGGUUGUGGGAGCAAGAGCCCGGAGAUGGAUUCUGAGACACGAAUCCAGGCCCUACGGGGCGCAGCAGGCGCGAAAACUUUACAAUGCGAGAAAUCGUGAUAAGGGAACCCCGAGUGCCCGUAAAUUCGGGCUGUCCGCCAGUGCAAAAAACUGGUGAAGAAAGAGCCGGGCAAGACCGGUGCCAGCCGCCGCGGUAAUACCGGCGGCUCGAGUGGUGGCCACUAUUACUGGGCUUAAAGCGUCCGUAGCUGGGUUGUUAAGUCUUCUGGGAAAUCCACCGGCUCAACCGAUGGGAGUUCAGGAGAUACUGGUGACCUAGGGACCGGGAGAGGUGAGAGGUACUCCAGGGGUAGGAGUGAAAUCCUGUAAUCCUUGGGGGACCACCUGUGGCGAAGGCGUCUCACCAGAACGGCUCCGACAGUGAGGGACGAAAGCUGGGGGAGCAAACCGGAUUAGAUACCCGGGUAGUCCCAGCUGUAAACGAUGCGCGUUAGGUGUAUCGGUGACCACGAGUCACCGAGGUGCCGAAGGGAAACCGUGAAACGUGCCGCCUGGGAAGUACGGUCGCAAGGCUGAAACUUAAAGGAAUUGGCGGGGGAGCACCACAACAGGUGGAGCCUGCGGUUUAAUCGGACUCAACGCCGGGAAGCUCACCGGAUAAGACAGCUGAAUGAUAGCCGGGUUGAAGACUCUGCUUGACUAGCUGAGAGGAGGUGCAUGGCCGUCGUCAGUUCGUACUGUGAAGCAUCCUGUUAAGUC
This 883-nucleotide ribosomal RNA is filed under the name uncultured archaeon. RNAcentral describes it as "bacterial SSU rRNA". It matches the Rfam family "Archaeal small subunit ribosomal RNA", at positions 147 to 1035 of the family's 1478-position model. The record is from RNAcentral.